RNAcentral lists this ribosomal RNA (437 nucleotides) under Wolbachia pipientis. Its description in RNAcentral is "bacterial SSU rRNA". It matches the Rfam family "Bacterial small subunit ribosomal RNA", at positions 992 to 1428 of the family's 1533-position model. Lineage: Bacteria; Pseudomonadati; Pseudomonadota; Alphaproteobacteria; Rickettsiales; Anaplasmataceae. The record is from RNAcentral.
CAUACCUAUUCGAAGGGAUAGGGUCGGUUUGGCCGGAUUUCACACAGGUGUUGCAUGGCUGUCGUCAGCUCGUGUCGUGAGAUGUUGGGUUAAGUCCCGCAACGAGCGCAACCCUCAUCCUUAGUUGCCAUCAGGUUAUGCUGGGGACUUUAAGGAAACUGCCAGUGAUAAACUGGAGGAAGGUGGGGAUGAUGUCAAGUCAUCAUGGCCCUUAUGGAGUGGGCUACACACGUGCUACAAUGGUGAUUACAAUGGGCUGCAAGGUCGCAAGGCUGAGCUAAUCCUAAAAAAUCAUCUCAGUUCGGAUUGUUCUCUGCAACUCGAGAGCAUGAAGUUGGAAUCGCUAGUAAUCGUGGAUCAGCAUGCCACGGUGAAUACGUUCUCGGGUCUUGUACACACUGCCCGUCACGCCAUGGGAAUUGGUUUCACUCGAAGCU